RNAcentral lists this unclassified non-coding RNA (329 nucleotides) under soil metagenome. RNAcentral's name for it is "partial contains 5.8S ribosomal RNA, internal transcribed spacer 2, and large subunit ribosomal RNA". The stretch from base 1 to 120 matches the Rfam family "5.8S ribosomal RNA", at positions 35 to 154 of the family's 154-position model. The record is from RNAcentral.
GAUGAAGAACGUAGCGAAAUGCGAUAACUAAUGUGAAUUGCAGAAUUCCGUGAAUCAUUGAGUCUUUGAACGCACAUUGCACCCUCUGGUAUUCCGGGGGGUAUGCCUGUCCGAGCGUCAUUUCACCACUCAAGCCUGGCUUGGUGUUGGGCGACGUCCCCUUUGGGGACGCGCCUUGAAACGCUCGGCGGCGUGGCACCGGCUUUAAGCGUAGCAGAAUCUUUCGCUUUGGAAGUCGGGGCCCCGUCUGCCGGAAGACCUACUCGCAAGGUUGACCUCGGAUCAGGCAGGGAUACCCGCUGAACUUAAGCAUAUCAAUAAGCGGAGGA